GAUUAGAUACCCUGGUAGUCCACGCCCUAAACGAUGUCAACUAGCUGUUGGGGUCUUCGGACCUUGGUAGCGCAGCUAACGCGUGAAGUUGACCGCCUGGGGAGUACGGUCGCAAGAUUAAAACUCAAAGGAAUUGACGGGGACCCGCACAAGCGGUGGAUGAUGUGGAUUAAUUCGAUGCAACGCGAAAAACCUUACCUACCCUUGACAUGUCUGGAAUCCCGAAGAGAUUUGGGAGUGCUCGCAAGAGAACCGGAACACAGGUGCUGCAUGGCUGUCGUCAGCUCGUGUCGUGAGAUGUUGGGUUAAGUCCCGCAACGAGCGCAACCCUUGUCAUUAGUUGCUACGAAAGGGCACUCUAAUGAGACUGCCGGUGACAAACCGGAGGAAGGUGGGGAUGACGUCAAGUCCUCAUGGCCCUUAUGGGUAGGGCUUCACACGUCAUACAAUGGUCGGGACAGAGGGUCGCCAACCCGCGAGGGGGAGCCAAUCCCAGAAACCCGAUCGUAGUCCGGAUCGCAGUCUGCAACUCGACUGCGUGAAGUCGGAAUCGCUAGUAAUCGCGGAUCAGCAUGUCGCGGUGAAUACGUUCCCGGGUCUUGUACACACCGCCCGUCACACCAUGGGAGUGGGUUUUACCAGAAGUAGUUAGCCUAACCGCAAGGAGGGCGAUUACCACGGUAGGAUUCAUGACUGGGGUGAAGUCGUAACAAGG
RNAcentral lists this ribosomal RNA (715 nucleotides) under uncultured bacterium. RNAcentral's name for it is "bacterial SSU rRNA". It matches the Rfam family "Bacterial small subunit ribosomal RNA", at positions 776 to 1496 of the family's 1533-position model. The record is from RNAcentral.